Molecule: transfer RNA, 74 nt
Filed under: Pelecanus crispus (Dalmatian pelican)
Lineage: Eukaryota; Metazoa; Chordata; Aves; Pelecaniformes; Pelecanidae
Rfam family: tRNA
About the family: Transfer RNA (tRNA) molecules are approximately 80 nucleotides in length. Their secondary structure includes four short double-helical elements and three loops (D, anti-codon, and T loops).
Source: Rfam by way of RNAcentral
ACGGGGUUAGCUCAGUUGGUUAGAGCGUGGUGCUAAUAACGCCAAGGUCACAGGUUCAGUCCCUGCUUACUGCA